Molecule: unclassified non-coding RNA, 527 nt
Filed under: uncultured Bartonella sp.
Lineage: Bacteria; Pseudomonadati; Pseudomonadota; Alphaproteobacteria; Hyphomicrobiales; Bartonellaceae
Description: partial 16S-23S ribosomal RNA intergenic spacer
Source: RNAcentral
CUCCCAGCUGAGCUACGGCCCCUAAAUCAGGAUAAAGCGUUUAAAACGAUCAAAAGAGGGAUUACAAAAUCUAUAUAACUCAAAGCGAUAUGAUUGAACCGAUAGUUUCAUAUAGGCAUUGACGUCUAUGAGCAUUUGGAAUUUAUAUCAACCAAAUGGACGCUGUAAAAAUCACUUUGCAAGGAAUUUUGACUCCUUAGUAUUUAGCAUUUGAACUGUUUUUUUGCCAUUAAUUUGCUUUAACUUUGGAUUACUCACACAAAAGCAAUAAGCCUGCCAAUUUUGAUAAGCUUUUUAGAAGCAAUCUUUUUAGAAGUACUUAUUUUUUAAAAGCACUUAUGAAAGUAAUGGAUAAACUGGUGGGCCUGGGAGGACUUGAACCUCCGACCUCACGCUUAUCAAGCGCGCGCUCUAACCAACUGAGCUACAAGCCCUCCGGGAUAAACCGGAAAACCUUCCCCGGCAUCCUCUUAUAAAACGCUUAAAUUUUAUCAAGGAAAGCGUUUUUCAAAGCCCACGGUGGACUU